RNAcentral lists this ribosomal RNA (418 nucleotides) under uncultured bacterium. Its description in RNAcentral is "partial 16S ribosomal RNA". It matches the Rfam family "Bacterial small subunit ribosomal RNA", at positions 361 to 776 of the family's 1533-position model. The record is from RNAcentral.
AUAUUGGUCAAUGGAGGCAGCUCUGAACCUGCCAAGUCGCGUGUAGGAUGAAGGUCUUAUGGUUUGUAAACUUCUUCUUCAAGGGAAUAAAGUGGGGGACGUGUCCUCCUUUGCUUGUACCAUGCGAAUAAGGAGCGGUUAACGCCGUCCCAGCAGCCGCGGUAAUACGGAGGAUCCGAGCGUUAUCCGGAUUUAUUGGGUUUAAAGGGUGCGCAGGCGGGAUGUUAAGUCGGCGGUGAAAUUUUGCAGCUCAACUGUAAAAGUGCCUUCGAUACUGGCUUCCUUGAGUGUGGAUGAAGUAGGCGGAAUUUGUGGUGUAGCGGUGAAAUGCUUAGAUAUCACGAGGAACUCCGAUUGCGCAGGCAGCUUACUAAACCACUACUGACGCUCAUGCACGAAGGCGUGGGGAUCAAACAGG